GUGGGGAAUAUUGGACAAUGGGCGAAAGCCUGAUCCAGCCAUGCCGCGUGUGUGAAGAAGGUCUUCGGAUUGUAAAGCACUUUAAGUUGGGAGGAAGGGCAGUAAGUUAAUACCUUGCUGUUUUGACGUUACCGACAGAAUAAGCACCGGCUAACUUCGUGCCAGCAGCCGCGGUAAUACGAAGGGUGCAAGCGUUAAUCGGAAUUACUGGGCGUAAAGCGCGCGUAGGUGGUUUUGUAAGUUGGAGGUGAAAUCCCCGGGCUCAACCUGGGAACUGCCUCCAAAACUGCAUGACUAGAGUACGGUAGAGGGUAGUGGAAUUUCCUGAGUAGCGGUGAAAUGCGUAGAUAUAGGAAGGAACACCAGUGGCGAAGGCGACUACCUGGACUGAUACUGACACUGAGGUGCGAAAGCGUGGGGAGCAAACAGGAUUAGAAACCCGAGUAGUCC
RNAcentral lists this ribosomal RNA (450 nucleotides) under uncultured bacterium. RNAcentral's name for it is "partial 16S ribosomal RNA". It matches the Rfam family "Bacterial small subunit ribosomal RNA", at positions 354 to 796 of the family's 1533-position model. The record is from RNAcentral.